UGAGGAAUAUUGGUCAAUGGGCGCAAGCCUGAACCAGCCAUCCCGCGUGAAGGAUGAAGGCCCUAUGGGUCGUAAACUUCUUUUAUACACCAAGAAAAAGUCAGACGUGUCUGGCCCCGACGGUAGUGUAUGAAUAAGCAUCGGCUAACUCCGUGCCAGCAGCCGCGGUAAUACGGAGGAUGCGAGCGUUAUCCGGAUUCAUUGGGUUUAAAGGGUGCGUAGGCGGCUUUUUAAGUCAGUGGUGAAAUCUUGCCGCUUAACGGUAAAAUUGCCAUUGAUACUGAUAAGCUUGAGUACAAUUGAGGUAAGCGGAAUGUGUAGUGUAGCGGUGAAAUGCUUAGAUAUUACACAGAACACCGAUUGCGAAGGCAGCUUACUAAACUGUCACUGACGCUGAUGCACGAAAGCGUGGGGAGCGAACA
Molecule: ribosomal RNA, 422 nt
Filed under: uncultured prokaryote
Description: bacterial SSU rRNA
Rfam family: Bacterial small subunit ribosomal RNA
Source: RNAcentral